AUUUAGCACUCGAAAAGCGCCUUCGUAGGAGCCACUGGUGUAUAUGCAUAGACGCAUACAUAAAAACGGCGAAGUGUACACGCUCACGAAACAUCCUCCAAGUCGCUCCUCUUAUCUCCGCCUUCUACUAUUCCCUCAGUCUCCCGGAAUGUCGCUCGAUGGCGGUGGCAUCAGCAAUGGCCCCGAGGCACAGGCUACCGCCUCGGCCAUGGAGGAGGACUACUGCCUGCAUGGGCGGGAGCGCUUUCAAAACCAGUGGGCGCGCGCUGGCGUGUUUGCUCCUGCCUCAUUGCGUGUGUACGGCAUCACCGGGGAGCCGGUGCUGAUGCGCUCCAUCAAGCAAGCGCGCAUGCUGAGUGCCACGUUCGGCACGUGCUUUCUCGGCCGCUUUCCGCGGUUCAGGUCGUCGCCGUCUUCGGGGGACAGCGAUGCCGCCGCCGUCACGCAGAAGGACAACGCCUCGAACGCUGCCGGUCCGUCCAGAAGCGGCAGCAGCUACGAUUCGCUUCCCUUCAGCUCCCUCUUGCUGGGUCCGUGCCCUCCGCCGAACAUGACGGCUGAUCCCCACAUGCUACAUCAGGCGUGGCGCAGGGAGGUGGCCGGGACGUGGAGCGCGCUGCACAUGCCGUCGGAGUGGUGCCAGACGAUGAACGGUGUCGUGACGGAGCUAAGCUGGUCGACGCGUGCGCAGCGGAAGCGUAUCGCUGAGCAGCUUGAGCUAGCAGCCUUCAUGUGCCUACGCGCCGUGCAGGUGCCGCUACCGUUCUAUGCCGCGGACGUCGCAUGGUCUGGCGGAGAUGACGACGACAGCCGCGAUCAGGAGGACAACGAGGGGGGUGCCACAGCAGGCAAGCGCGGCGGCGCGCAGCCGAUGAGUGAUGAAGAGGAGAAUCAGCGCAACAUCCGCGUCGCUUGUCUUGCCGCGGAUGUAGUGCUGUCUUUCAUUCAGCAGUGCACGAGGGUGAAGGUGUGGGUCCGCUGCGAUGCAUGCAACCCUGCCCAUCGCUACCAGCUGCAGCGUCUCCGCCAGGCCGUCCUUUACGGCUACUCCACUCUCAAGACGGACUCAAGGCGGGUGAUAUACCGCAUCAAUACACCCUGUAGUGUCACCAGCACCACUACGAGCCUCAUGUCUGACGCAUCACCGCCGUCGUCGUCCUCGUCGCCGCGUUCGGGUGUGGUGCAUACCGAGGCGGCUUCGUCUUUGAUGGCGCUGCUCUACUACUCCACGUGGAACCCGCGCAUGCUGCUGCCCAGCGAGUGGUUCGGCGAGGAGGUCGUCGGCUUUGAGUGCCCUACUGCCCCGGCGCUGCUGGCGUGUCUGGCGCCGCACGGGGUGGCGCCGCACGAGCACCCCAACUACCGCCCUGACGCCCCAGGCACCGCUUCCAGCACGCACCAUCGCCCCAGCGCCACUUUGGCGGAGGAAGACGUCGUGGAGGCGCAGGAGCAGGCGCACCCUAACCACGGCAACCCCGACGAGGACAACGCACCGCUCCGGCGAACGCCACCGACCUACCACGACGGCGAGAGCGAAGGGAGUCGAACAGGCUACUCACUCUUCGACUGGUACGACAGCGUUACAGAGCUUGAGACGAGCCACGAAGCCGACUCGGCCGUGGCGGCGGCGAAGGGGGGCUCCAAGGGCUCCGGUUCCGCCUCCGACACAUCGUAUGAGGCAGCGGCCGACUGUCGCCGCUCUCAUUUGCUGCGGAGCCGCUACACCUACGUGAUGCCGGAGGAUCUCCAGCCGUUGGUGGCCUCCCGCUGGGCUGGCACCUACCCGCCCUUUGUCAGCGCGAUCACCUUCAUUGUGGAGCUGCUGCGCCGGCGCGCGAUGCCAGUGUUCGAUCGUACCUUUUUUGACCAGUACCCGCUGCUCAACUACCUCCACUUCAAAGGCGUCGAGGAGCCGACCCGCGACGUCUUUGCCUCCUUCGAGGGUCAACUCCAACUGCCACUACAGCCACUGAGCCACCACCUGUCGAGCGGCGUCUACGAAGUCUUUGAGCGCGACGCACGAAAAUACCGGCAGUACCGCGAGGCAGUCUUUCACUACGUGCGGGACUGGUACGCCGCCGGGGCGGAGCAGCAGCACGCGCAUCAGAACAAAAUGUUCUUCGCGAAGCACGGUGCCAUGCAGAGGGUGCCGGUGCCCUCGCCGGAUGAGCGGACACUCCACCUCGUGCUGCUCGGCUGCGGUCGCGGCCCGUUGAUCGAUGAGUGCCUCCACGCUGUCUCCGCGCUCGGGGUGCGACUGCGCAUCUUCGCCAUCGAAAAGAAUCCCCCAGCUGCCGCCUUCACGCGAAUGCGGUGGGCGAAUGACCCCGAGUGGAUGCAGCUGGCCUACACCUUCGGACACACACUGGAGGUGAUCGUCGCCGACGGGCGCACCAUUGCGACCGCCGCGGAAGACGGCUCGCUCACCUUACCGGCUGACUUCGGUCUGUGCGACCUUAUCGUUUCUGAGCUGCUCGGGAGUCUGGGCGACAACGAGCUGAGCCCGGAGUGUCUGGAGGCCUUCCACGCUCAGCUCGAGGACAUCCAGCUCAGCCGCGGCAUCGCUUUCAACCCUCACCUCAUGUGCAUUCCACAGCAAUACACUGCGUGGGUGGCGCCGCUCAUGUCUGCCACCUUUGAUGCGGCGGUGACGGAGGCGGCUGUGAAAGGGUUGACGGUGCCGCCGCCGGGCUGCCACGACCGCCAUGCUGCUCUCAAUCAUACGCUGCUUGUCACAAACCUCAGCAGGGCUGUCACACUGGCGCCUCCGCAGCCGUGCUGGACCUUCGAGCACCGAUUCCACGGCGGCAGCGGUAACGACUACAAGGGAGACCGCGGCGCGAUGAAGCGGCGGGAGCCCGUGUCGCUGGAGCGGGCGGCGAGCCUUGUCUUUCAGGUGCCGCCGUGUGGCCGCUGCUGCGGCUUGGCUGGCUAUUUCUCCGCGGUGCUUUACGAGUCUGCGACCGCGCCAGCCACGAUCAUCGCCACUGCCCCUGUGGAGAGGACGGAGGACAUGUACAGUUGGUUUCCAUGCGUCUUUGCGCUCGAGCCCGCCCAGCAGGCGGAGCUGCAGGAUGUCGGGCAAGCAGCGGCGGAAGAAAGCCGCAUGGUCGCCAUCCGCGUGCAGCUUGAUCGGCGGACGGGUCUGGCGGAGCAGAGGGUUUGGUAUGAGUGGAGCGUCACCUACGGCGAUGCGGCGGUGGAGCGACAGUCGCCGAGGACUGGCCGCGACGCCUCCGCUGCACCGUUGGUUCACAACAAGAACGGCUGGGCUGCGUCGAUGCUCCUGUGAGACGGCGGGGAUGGCACUGGAGGGUGGGAAGGUGUGUGGAGGGGAGCCAGAGCAGCUAUUGCCCGGCUCUCUGUCUAUUUGAUUUCUUCUCGGGUUUACCGCGGGUGUGUGCAUAUUGACACGUGAGCUGCGUAGCAGGACUCCAUCAUGGGUGCUAUAGGUAUGCGACGCUGAUGUCCACCCUCGUCUUCCUCUCAUUCUUUUCGAUGCGUCUUAGUGUCUUCCAGAGUCGCUUAGUCAUGUUCAUUUUUUUCUCGCUUUUCCUUGUUGUGGUGAUGCUGUUGUUGUCCUGUGUCGUCGUGAGCAUGUCUCCCUCUCCCUCUCUCCCGCCUCCCCUGCGCGCCGCCCUUCCCAAGCCUCCUCUACGCUGCUCCACAUCUAUUGAACUGCUGCGGCCCGCCACGCCUUCCUCACGAGCUCUCUUUAGCAUCCCUCAUCUGGUUCUUUGUCGUUAUUGUUGGUUUUCCCUUUCCUUCCGCGGCGAACGUAUCUGGCGGUCACUAAACCACUGCUACCGCGUUGUUGUUGUCUUGGCCGCGGCUGCAGAGUGGACUGUUAUGCGCGUUGUGCUGGUGUGCUCGCCAUGGAUUGCACUCCAUGUUGCAUCUGCGUCUCUUGUCACCUCCUCCCUCUUCCCCCUCUCCUUCUUUAUCCCCUUCGCCUUUCCUCUUGUGCUUACGCGUCACUGCGGCUGUGCGCCUCUGUAGUCUUUAUCUAUGCUACCGUGCACAGGGCCACUGCCCUCUCACCACCUCCCUACCCCGCCCUAGUGUUCUUGGCGGAUGUCUGCAGGACCAUAUAUAUUUGUGCGUGCGUGCGUAUGUAGACGAGGCGGGCCGGCUCACAUCGUGAUGCCAUGUUUCUUCCGCCCCAACCCCCUCCCCCCUCACGCCUUGUUUUUUGAUGCAUGCAUCGUGUCUGUGUUGGCUUGUGUGUUGUUUCGUCCUUGUUAUUUCUUCGCCUCGCUUUUCUUCCCGGCAGUGCUGCGCCGAUCUCGUGUGACGGCUUGACUGUCCACCCCCACCCACCCCACCCCUUCGCUGCUGCCUGUACUCGAUUUCAUGCCCCUCUCUUCACAGGAGUGGUGAUGGUGGUGGUGGUGGUGGUGGUGAUGUGUGUGUGUGUGUGCGGAGAUACAUAUAUGCCCCCAUAUACGCAUAUAUAUAUAUAUGCGUAUAUGGGGGCAUUUAUCGUUUCUCCCACCGCCGCCGCCCAUCUCCCGUAAGGGCGCUUUGCCGCCCCCCUCCCCUCCCCAUGUCUCCCCCCCCCGUGCCACGUCCGAUACUGACGGAGGUGAGACAGAGGAAGCGGGCAAAGAGAAAUGCAGAACGAUGAAAAGCUGGGGAAAACGAAGAGGAACGCGGGUGUCAGUUUCCACUAACGCUAUUGUCCACGUCUGGGACAGCGAAGGCCACCUCGAGGUGCCUGCAUGCGGCUGUGUGUACAUAUAUAUAUAUAUAUAUAUAUCACGCUCUCUACCUCGCUGCUGCUUUUUGGGAGGCGCAGCGGGCACUCUUUGCCACUGACGCCCCCGCUGCAUCUCUCGUGUCUACCGCACUUCCUCGCACAACACUACUUCCUCCUUCCUUCUAUUAAUCGAAAACAUUACAACAUGAAG
Molecule: unclassified non-coding RNA, 4910 nt
Filed under: Leishmania donovani
Lineage: Eukaryota; Euglenozoa; Kinetoplastea; Trypanosomatida; Trypanosomatidae
Description: gene:LdHU3.21.2000(CDS-product:arginine_N-methylt ransferase_type_II_putative)
Source: RNAcentral